This 421-nucleotide ribosomal RNA is filed under the name uncultured bacterium. Its description in RNAcentral is "bacterial SSU rRNA". It matches the Rfam family "Bacterial small subunit ribosomal RNA", at positions 1074 to 1493 of the family's 1533-position model. The record is from RNAcentral.
GUUGGGUUAAGUCCCGCAACGAGCGCAACCCUUGCCCCGUGUUACUAACAGGUAAAGCUGAGGACUCUCGGGGGACUGCCGGCGUCAAGCCGGAGGAAGGUGGGGACGACGUCAAGUCAUCAUGGCCCUUACGCCCAGGGCUACACACGUGCUACAAUGGCCAGGACAGAGGGCAGCAAGACCGCAAGGUGGAGCGAAUCCCAGAAACCUGGUCCAAGUUCGGAUUGUGGGCUGCAACUCGCCCGCAUGAAGCCGGAAUCGCUAGUAAUCGCGGAUCAGCUACGCCGCGGUGAAUACGUUCCCGGGCCUUGUACACACCGCCCGUCACGCCAUGGAAGCCGGGAGUGCCCGAAGUCCGUGUCCUAACCGCAAGGAGGGAGCGGCCGAAGGCAAGUUCGGUGACUGGGGCGAAGUCGUAACA